AUGCAGCUGACGAGUCCCAAAUUGGACGAAAUGCGCAUCCUGAAU
This 45-nucleotide non-coding RNA is filed under the name Trichobilharzia regenti. Lineage: Eukaryota; Metazoa; Platyhelminthes; Trematoda; Strigeidida; Schistosomatidae. The record is from RNAcentral.